UGGGGAAUAUUGCACAAUGGGGGAAACCCUGAUGCAGCAACGCCGCGUGAGUGAAGAAGUAUUUCGGUAUGUAAAGCUCUAUCAGCAGGGAAGAAGAUGACCGGUACCUGAGUAAGAAGCCCGGCUAACUACGUGCC
This 137-nucleotide ribosomal RNA is filed under the name uncultured bacterium. RNAcentral's name for it is "partial 16S ribosomal RNA". It matches the Rfam family "Bacterial small subunit ribosomal RNA", at positions 355 to 509 of the family's 1533-position model. The record is from RNAcentral.